GACCCCUUAGCUCAGUGGUAGAGCGUCGCAUUCCAGUCUUCUAUAUCGUCCUUGGUGUAUCGCGAAGGCCGUCCGUUCAAUCCGGGCAGGGGUCA
Mycena rosella is the source of this 95-nucleotide non-coding RNA. NCBI's taxonomy places the organism in Eukaryota, Fungi, Basidiomycota, Agaricomycetes, Agaricales, Mycenaceae. The record is from the annotation of a GenBank genome assembly.